Long non-coding RNA from Vitis vinifera (wine grape), 1214 nucleotides. RefSeq lists it as uncharacterized. The transcript is spliced from 10 exons. The record is from RefSeq and is a predicted model, not a curated record. NCBI's taxonomy places the organism in Eukaryota, Viridiplantae, Streptophyta, Magnoliopsida, Vitales, Vitaceae.
UGAAGGCUUCUCAAAUUGAUUACUAUGAAAUAAAUGAGGCUUUCGCCGUUGUAGCUCUUGCCAAUCAAAAGUUGCUUGGUCUUGAUCCUCUGGCUGAUUCUUCAAGCAUUGUGGGAUGCGGCUUGGUAUUUUUUUCUUUCAACAUUGGCACUUUGUUUUAUUUUUUAUUUUUUCGAUUUCACUCUAUUAUUUUCUACCUUAUGGCUUUCUCUAGGGUUUCAAGUCACCAGAGGAUUUGGAGGCUUUUCAGGUAUGAAAAUUCCACCUGAGAGUGCCCCAAAAGGCUUUAUUGGUGUUUUAGACAGGAAAGGUAACCCCUGAUUUACAGAUUCUAGAUGGUGGAGAAUAGAUAGGCCUGAAGCAUUUUAGGCCGGUAAAACCCUUGGGAUCUAGUGACACUGGCAGGUGUUGAAAAUUUUUCAUUUUUGAGAAGAUGUGCUUCUGGGUAUUUAUUGUGUGCGGUUUAUCUUGAAGAAGCUGCAUCUAUCAGUGGCAAUUUGCUCUUACAGGAGGAGCAAGUUACAGAGCGGAAUAUGAGGGAAAUUUGAAGGAAAUCCUUGGUUACACUAAGGAUGAUGUGGUAUCAAGUGACUUUGUGGGAGACUGCAGGUCGAGUAUUUUUUAUGCCAAGGCUGGAAUUGCUCUGAAUGACAACUUCAUCAAGUUGGUCUCUUGGUAUGGUAUGAUAAUGAAUGGGUUUACAGUUGGUUAAGAAGAAGAUGGAUGAGGAGUACGAAUUGACUAUGGAGGACAUUGAUUCGAGUUUGGUGUUCAUGUACAUCCUGUAACAGAGGAGGAUGUUAAAGGAGAAGCUCAAUAUAAACAUACAGAUUUUGUAAAAGCAGUGGUGCUGAAGAUGCUACUUAGCUGGUCAUCCAUUAAAGGUGUUCAGCUUGAACACCGGAAGGUUCAACCUGGAAACAUAUCAGUUCUUUGAUACUGUUAAGAAACACUAUGGCAGCCGCAUUGAAUGCAUGUUUCCAGAUGCUAUUGAAGCUGAGGGCUUGGUGAGUGUUGCCGUGAGGAAAGUGAGACCUCACCUUCUAGCUCACAAAAUUUAAUUGUUAAACGUUAAGUCUCAUUGAUGUUGGUUUCAACUAUAGUAUGUAGUGUUGCAAUAGUAAUGCAAAGCCAGUACAAACUUGACAACUUGAAAUCAAGACAGUCAAUGACCCAAAUUUGUAGAGUCAAUCAACUUUAGCUACUUUUUUUUU